Molecule: ribosomal RNA, 445 nt
Filed under: uncultured bacterium
Lineage: Bacteria
Description: partial 16S ribosomal RNA
Rfam family: Bacterial small subunit ribosomal RNA
Source: RNAcentral
GUAAGGAAUAUUGGACAAUGGACGCAAGUCUGAUCCAGCCAUGCCGCGUGAAGGAUUAAGGUCCUCUGGAUUGUAAACUUCUUUUAUAAGGGACGAAAAAAGGCUUUUCUAAGUCGUCUGACGGUACCUUAUGAAUAAGCACCGGCUAACUCCGUGCCAGCAGCCGCGGUAAUACGGAGGGUGCAAGCGUUAUCCGGAUUCACUGGGUUUAAAGGGUGCGUAGGCGGGCAGGUAAGUCAGUGGUGAAAUCCUAGAGCUUAACUCUAGAACUGCCAUUGAUACUAUCUGUCUUGAAUAUUGUGGAGGUAAGCGGAAUAUGUCAUGUAGCGGUGAAAUGCUUGGAUAUGACAUAGAACACCUAUUGCGAAGGCAGCUUACUACGCAUAUAUUGACGCUGAGGCACGAAAGCGUGGGGAUCAAACAGGAUUAGAAACCCUAGUAGUCC